This is a long non-coding RNA of Cyprinus carpio (common carp), 682 nucleotides long. RefSeq lists it as uncharacterized. The transcript has 3 exons. The record is from RefSeq and is a predicted model, not a curated record. NCBI's taxonomy places the organism in Eukaryota, Metazoa, Chordata, Actinopteri, Cypriniformes, Cyprinidae.
AAAACCUACAACAAGUGUACUCCCAGGUCCCGCCUUCAGGUGCUGCCACAGUGAUUGUUGGUGGUGUUGUGCUGCUGGUGGCUGCAGCUGCUGCUGUGAUCGCUACGGGAUAAAAAAAUGUAUUCUACAUACUGAAGAAAUGAGCCAGAGGACACAGACCUGCCUUUGUUAAAAGAUAACACUUUCAACAGCUUCAUUAUGAGCUCAUUGUAACAUGAUCAAAUUUCUAAAUAAAUAUAAAUCUGAUUUCUCCUCCUGGGAGCCUUUUAAAAUCCUCUGUGUGCAUAUAAAAUCUAAUUCUGAUGUUUCAUACCUUUUGCUCUUUGCACAUAAUGCAUACUUGCUUUUUCUGCAAUUAUUAGCUAAAAUAUCUGAUGUGAAAUGACAUGUAUAAGAAACUGAAUUUAUCGAAUGUGGGUUUUUUUUUUUUGUUUUUUUUUAAAUGAAACAAGCAUGUGAUGUAUGAAAUGUUAUCACUCUCUUCUCUCCCAGAAGUUUCUAGAAACACCUGAGCUGUUUAAUGUAAAAACUUGUGACGCUUUAAUUGCUGGAAUUACUUGCAUAUUCAUUUACUGUUAAAUUAUUUUGCUUUUGUGUUUGCUUAUACAGUAUUAUAACUGUGCUUUACUUUCAUGCUAUACUACAUUCACUUCACUGCACUUUAAUGUAAAACUAUCUGAUA